This 727-nucleotide ribosomal RNA is filed under the name uncultured archaeon. RNAcentral describes it as "bacterial SSU rRNA". It matches the Rfam family "Archaeal small subunit ribosomal RNA", at positions 134 to 857 of the family's 1478-position model. The record is from RNAcentral.
GGGAAAACUGAAGGCCAAUCGCGGAUACGGUUCUCAUGCUGGAGUGCAGAGAACCGGAAACGUUCCGGCGCUGUAGGAUGUGGCUGCGGCCGAUUAGGUAGAUGGUGGGGUAACGGCCCACCAUGCCGAUAAUCGGUACGGGUUGUGAGAGCAAGAGCCCGGAGACGGUAUCUGAGACAAGAUACCGGGCCCUACGGGGCGCAGCAGGCGCGAAACCUUUACACUGCACGACAGUGCGAUAGGGGGACUCCGAGUGCGAGGGCAUAUAGCCCCCGCUUUUCUGUACCGUAAGGUGGUGCAGGAACAAGGACUGGGCAAGACCGGUGCCAGCCGCCGCGGUAAUACCGGCAGUCCAAGUGAUGGCCGAUAUUAUUGGGCCUAAAGCGUCCGUAGCCUGCUGUGUAAGUCCAUUGGGAAAUCGACCAGCUCAACUGGUCGACGUCCGGUGGAAACUACACGGCUUGGGGCCGAGAGACUUGACGGGUACGUCCGGGGUAGGAGUGAAAUCCUGUAAUCCUGGACGGACCACCAAUGGCGAAAGCACGUCAAGAGACCGGACCCGACGGUGAGGGACGAAAGCCAGGGUCUCGAACCGGAUUAGAUACCCGGGUAGUCCUGGCUGUAAACAAUGCUCGCUAGGUAUGUCACGCGCCAUGAGCACGUGAUGUGCCGUAAUGAAGACGAUAAGCGAGCCGCCUGGGGAAGUACGUCCGCAAGGAUGAAACUU